RNAcentral lists this transfer RNA (78 nucleotides) under Actinoplanes utahensis. RNAcentral describes it as "tRNA-Glu". It matches the Rfam family "tRNA". Rfam says of the family: Transfer RNA (tRNA) molecules are approximately 80 nucleotides in length. Lineage: Bacteria; Bacillati; Actinomycetota; Actinomycetes; Micromonosporales; Micromonosporaceae. The record is from RNAcentral.
GGCGCGGUGGACGUAUUGGUAGAGUCGCCCGGCUUUCACCCGGGACAUGUGCGGGUUCGAGUCCCGUCCGCGCUGCCC